AUACGUAGGGGGCGAGCGUUGUCCGGAAUGACUGGGCGUAAGGGCGUGUAGGCGGCGGUGUAAGUCUGGAGUGAAAGUCCCGCAUUCAAUGUGGGAAUUGCUUUGGAUACUGCAGUGCUAGAGUGCGGAAGAGGUAAGUGGAAUUCCCAGUGUAGCGGUGAAAUGCGUAGAGAUUGGGAGGAACACCAGUGGCGAAGGCGGCCUGCUGGACGACAACUGACGCUGAGGCGCGAAAGCGUGGGGAGCAAACAGGAUUAGAUACCCUGGUAGUCCACGCUGUAAACGAUGAAUACUAGGUGUGGGGGGACUGACCCCCUCCGUGCCGCAGUUAACACAAUAAGUAAUCCACCUGGGGAGCACGUUCGCAAGAAUGAAACUCAAAGGAAUUGACGGGG
Molecule: ribosomal RNA, 395 nt
Filed under: uncultured bacterium
Lineage: Bacteria
Description: partial 16S ribosomal RNA
Rfam family: Bacterial small subunit ribosomal RNA
Source: RNAcentral